Molecule: ribosomal RNA, 395 nt
Filed under: Streptococcus anginosus
Lineage: Bacteria; Bacillati; Bacillota; Bacilli; Lactobacillales; Streptococcaceae
Description: bacterial SSU rRNA
Rfam family: Bacterial small subunit ribosomal RNA
Source: RNAcentral
GACGAACGCGGCGGCGUGCCUAAUACAUGCAAGUAGGACGCACAGUCUAUACCGUAGCUUGCUACACCAUAGGCUGUGAGUUGCGAACGGGUGAGUAACGCGUAGGUAACCUGCCUAUUAGAGGGGGAUAACUAUUGGAAACGAUAGCUAAUACCGCAUAACAGUAUGUAACACAUGUUAGAUGCUUGAAAGAUGCAAUUGCAUCGCUAGUAGAUGGACCUGCGUUGUAUUAGCUAGUAGGUAGGGUAAAGGCCUACCUAGGCAACGAUACAUAGCCGACCUGAGAGGGUGAUCGGCCACACUGGGACUGAGACCACGGCCCAGACUCCUACGGGAGGCAGCAGUAGGGAAUUUUUCGGCAAUGGGGGGAACCCUGACCGAGCAACGCCGCGCGA